UACGUAGGGUGCAAGCGUUGUCCGGAAUUAUUGGGCGUAAAGAGCUCGUAGGCGGUCUGUCGCGUCGGCUGUGAAAUCCCGAGGCUCAACCUCGGGUCUGCAGUCGAUACGGGCAAACUAGAGUAUUGCAGGGGAGACUGGAAUUCCUGGUGUAGCGGUGAAAUGCGCAGAUAUCAGGAAGAACACCCGUGGCGAAAGCGGCUCUCUGGAACGGUACUGACGCUGAGACGCGAAAGCGUGGGGAGCAAACAGG
Molecule: ribosomal RNA, 253 nt
Filed under: uncultured bacterium
Lineage: Bacteria
Description: partial 16S ribosomal RNA
Rfam family: Bacterial small subunit ribosomal RNA
Source: RNAcentral